RNA transcript from Ricinus communis (castor bean), 1400 nucleotides. It is a transcript of the gene named membrane protein PM19L, with no coding region annotated. The record is from RefSeq and is a predicted model, not a curated record. The transcript has 4 exons. NCBI's taxonomy places the organism in Eukaryota, Viridiplantae, Streptophyta, Magnoliopsida, Malpighiales, Euphorbiaceae.
UCAGUAUCGUAUCAUCCCUGCCAAAACAAUUGCAGGCAGCACAAAGAGGGAACGAUAUUUUGCUGGUUUUGGUAAUUUGAAUUAGGGGACGAGCAUCUAUUCUAAAAGCUUAAAAGGAAAGGUAGAAGAUCAGAGAUGGCAACUGUAGGCAGAAACAUAGCUGGUCCACUCCUGUUUCUCAACUUGAUCAUGUAUGCUAUUGCUUUAGGUUUUGCGAGUUGGUGUCUUAAUAGGUAUAUCAACGGCCAAACUAAUCACCCAAGUUUUGGACCGAAUGGAGCAACGCCUUUCUUUCUCACCUUUGCUAUAUUAGCUUCUGUUGUUGGAAUAGCAUCGAAGUUUGCAGGAGGUAACCACAUUAGAGCAUGGAGGAACGACAGUUUAGCUGCUGCUGGCUCAUCUUCGUUGAUGGCUUGGGCCAUCACUGCUUUGGCUUUUGGGCUGGCAUGCAAAGAAAUCAACAUAGGACACAGAGGUUGGAGACUGAGAAUGGUAGAGGCAUUCAUGAUAAUCUUGGCAUUUACUCAACUCUUGUAUGUCCUGUUGCUGCAUGCUGGAGUGUUUAGCAGCAGGUAUGGCCCUGGCUACAGGGAUACCGACUAUGGCGUAGGAGCUGGUGGGGAACCAAUGCCGAAGGGUGGUGUUCCAGUGACUGGGACUAGAGUCUGAGCUAUCUCAUCUGUCCUAAUGUAGAAUCAACCCCAAACAUUUCAUCCCUGUGGCUGAAAGGAGUGUUUUUUAGGUCAUUUUGGACAUGGAUCUUUAUCAAGUUUAAUUUAGUCCACUUUGUGGGUGUAUGUAGCGCUAUCAUUGAUGGAAGUAUCAUUCAAAUGAUUCACAGAUGACUUCUAGAGGAGAAUACUAAUAUGGGAACAAGGAACGCAAGUACUACAAAAGAAUGCAAUACGAAGUUGUGGAAACUUGAUCAACUUCGGGGGUUGUCUCUUGGUUAGAUCAGGGUAUACGUUGGUUGAAGCUGAAGUUGACAGCUAAUUUGAAUGAAUACUUUUCUCUGGUUUUCAGUAUUCGUUCUCUUCUUCAGUGAAGUUGGCAAGUUCGGUUCAGGCAUGUCUACUGGGAAGCUAAUUUCGCUUGCAAUUUCUUACCUUUGGCCUAUAACAGGCUGGACUCUCCUCCUGUUGGGGAUGAGUUCUUACAUCUGUUAGAUAUCACGGGGUGUUCCCCACCUCUCGCAGUGUCUUAAGCUACCCAGCCUCAGAAAACACUAUUAUGGAUCACAAAAUGAGAAGAGAAGCAAAUCGAAGAAGAGGGUUAAUUAGUAAAGCAUGAACUUUCUUUUCUGCUAUCAAUAUCAGGAUUGACUCAAUUCCGUUUGCAUGUAUAAGAAAUUACAGAUACAAAUUUAAUAACAGUUGCACCUUCAUUUGAAGGUUCAUUAA